Long non-coding RNA from Cydia amplana, 998 nucleotides. RefSeq lists it as uncharacterized. Lineage: Eukaryota; Metazoa; Arthropoda; Insecta; Lepidoptera; Tortricidae. The record is from RefSeq and is a predicted model, not a curated record. The transcript is spliced from 2 exons.
AUCUAAAGCCUUUGAUUGUGUUGUUCAUAAUACUAUUCUACGUCAAUUAGAAAAUUUAGGAAUACGAGGAAACGCUCUGAAACUUUUCAAAACUUAUUUAUGUGAUAGGCAGCAGGCGACAGUUAUAGAAUCGUUUAACGAUUUAACAAAAUCCAUAGAACAGGAGCAAUCAGACUUUGAAAUUGUCCACUUAUUUUUUUAAUUUAUAUAAAUGAAUUACCUAAAGUUGUCAACGAAUUAUGCGUUCUAUUUGCUGAUGACGCUACGCUUUUAUUUUCAGGACCAUUAACAGAUGAGCAACUUGAACACAGUAUAAACAACACACUAGGAAUUGUAGUUGAAUGGCUAAAAACAUUAAACCUUAACGUAAAUUUAAACAAAACAAAACUCGUUCAAUUUAGAAAUUACAGAACUUCACCUAUGCCCAUCACCGUAAAACAAGGAUCGGUGACAAUAGAGCAAGUGGACAGCGCCAAAUUCCUAGGAAUUACAAUAGACUCUCAUCUCAAUUGGAAGUCUCACAUUGCAGAUUUAAACUCUAAAAUUGCAAAAGCAGCCUAUGCCCUAUCUAUACUCUCUGAAACAUGUUCAGAGAAUGUCGUUAAGAGCGCAUACUAUGGAAAUGUAUAUUCACAACUCACUUAUGGUAUCAUUUAUUGGGGUGAUUCUGUUGAUGUUCUAACUACAUUCAGGUUACAAAAAAGAUGCUUACGAAACAUGUUUCACUUGCACAAGCUUCACUCAGUUAGAAAUGUUUUCAAGGAAAAGCGGAUUUUGACUUUAACUGGAAUCUACAUACUGGAGCUUUGCCUCUUUGUAAAGCGCAAUGGAGAGUAUUUCACAAAACUGUCGACAAUCAAUGAUAACUUGCGCAUGCAAUAUAAAUAUAACUAUCGUAUUCCAAAGGUCAAUAAUAAAAUUAUGGAUAAAAGUGCCUACAUUGCAGCAAUAAAAGUUUUUAACAAGUUGCCUGUUGAAAUAAAGUCUGUCGAAGGUAA